GCGGUAGUGGCGGAACUGGCAGACGCGCUAGACUUAGGAUCUAGUGGGAGACCGUGGGGGUUCAAGUCCUCUCUACCGCACCA
Molecule: transfer RNA, 83 nt
Filed under: Clostridia bacterium
Lineage: Bacteria; Bacillati; Bacillota; Clostridia
Also listed under: 2 other names
Description: tRNA-Leu
Rfam family: tRNA
About the family: Transfer RNA (tRNA) molecules are approximately 80 nucleotides in length. Their secondary structure includes four short double-helical elements and three loops (D, anti-codon, and T loops). Further hydrogen bonds mediate the characteristic L-shaped molecular structure. tRNAs have two regions of fundamental functional importance: the anti-codon, which is responsible for specific mRNA codon recognition, and the 3' end, to which the tRNAs corresponding amino acid is attached (by aminoacyl-tRNA synthetases). tRNAs cope with the degeneracy of the genetic code in two manners: having more than one tRNA (with a specific anti-codon) for a particular amino acid; and 'wobble' base-pairing, i.e. permitting non-standard base-pairing at the 3rd anti-codon position.
Source: RNAcentral